Molecule: RNA transcript, 375 nt
Organism: Octodon degus (degu)
Lineage: Eukaryota; Metazoa; Chordata; Mammalia; Rodentia; Octodontidae
Gene name: ubiquitin-fold modifier 1 pseudogene
Exons: 1
Source: RefSeq, a predicted model, not a curated record
AUGUCGAAGGUGUCCUUUAAGAUCAUGCUGAUGUCAGACCCAUGGCUGCCGUACAAAGUACUGAGUGUUCUUGAAAGUACACCUUUCACAGCAGUCUUAAAGUUUGCAGCAGAAGAAUUUAAAGUUCCUGCAGCAACAAGUGCAAUUAUUACCAAUGAUGGAAUAGGAAUAAAUCCUGCACAGACUGCUGGAAAUGUUUUUCUAAAUCAUGGUUCAGAACUGCAAAUUAUCCCUAGAGAUCGUGUUGGAAGUUGUUACUGUCUGCAGGGAACCUUUCAGAAUAAAAACUGCUAUUUUUAUUUUGUUUGUAAAAGUGAAAACAGGCAUUUAAUACACAAUGAGAACAUGAAGAGUCAAGGAAACAAUAAGAGGUAA